UGGUUUAGAUGGCUUUGUUUCCUUGA
Molecule: non-coding RNA, 26 nt
Filed under: Mus musculus (house mouse)
Lineage: Eukaryota; Metazoa; Chordata; Mammalia; Rodentia; Muridae
Source: RNAcentral